CCUAACACAUGACAAGUCGAGCGCUACCCGUCGGGGCGAGCGGCGGACGGGUUAGUAACGCGUGGGAACGUACCCUUUUCUAUGGAAUAGCCUCGGGAAACUGAGAGUAAUACCAUAUAAGCCCGUUCGGGGGAAAGAUUUAUCGGGAAAGGAUCGGCCGCGUUAGAUUAGAUAGUUGGUGGGGUAAUGGCCUACCAAGUCUACGAUCUAUAGCUGGUUUUAGAGGAUGAUCAGCAACACUGGGACUGAGACACGGCCCAGACUCCUACGGGAGGCAGCAGUGGGGAAUCUUAGACAAUGGGCGCAAGCCUGAUCUAGCCAUGCCGCGUGUGUGAUGAAGGUCUUAGGAUCGUAAAGCACUUUCGCCAGGGAUGAUAAUGACAGUACCUGGUAAAGAAACCCCGGCUAACUCCGUG
RNAcentral lists this ribosomal RNA (416 nucleotides) under uncultured bacterium. RNAcentral's name for it is "bacterial SSU rRNA". It matches the Rfam family "Bacterial small subunit ribosomal RNA", at positions 47 to 507 of the family's 1533-position model. The record is from RNAcentral.